RNAcentral lists this small nucleolar RNA (138 nucleotides) under Ornithorhynchus anatinus (platypus). Lineage: Eukaryota; Metazoa; Chordata; Mammalia; Monotremata; Ornithorhynchidae. The record is from RNAcentral.
CCCCUCUCUGGAUCGCACCUGGAGAGUUUUCAGUACUCUACCAGUCUCGGCUAUGGGAGGGAGAGCCAAGCAGAGGCAUACCCAUUCCAUUCCUAGCUUGGGCAGUGCCUAGCGAGCGGAAGACAAUCUGCUACAAGU